AACCUGGUUGAUCCUGCCAGUAGUCAUAUGCUUGUCUCAAAGAUUAAGCCAUGCAUGUCUAAGUUCACACUGUUUGACGGUGAAACCGCGAAUGGCUCAUUAAAUCAGUCGAGGUUCCUUAGAUGACACGAUCCUACUUGGAUAACUGUGGCAAUUCUAGAGCUAAUACAUGCUUACCAAGCUCCGACCUUUAUUGGAAAGAGCGCUUUUAUUAGUUCAAAACCAAUCGCCGUGUGCCUCCGUGGUGCAAGCCGUGGUCGCGCGGCGUCCCAUUGGUGACUCUGGAUAACUUUG
This 294-nucleotide ribosomal RNA is filed under the name Galba viatrix. RNAcentral's name for it is "partial 18S ribosomal RNA". It matches the Rfam family "Eukaryotic small subunit ribosomal RNA", at positions 1 to 264 of the family's 1831-position model. The record is from RNAcentral. Lineage: Eukaryota; Metazoa; Mollusca; Gastropoda; Lymnaeidae.